GGUAACUUGCCCAAGUGGUCUUGGGGGUGGAUUUAAGAUCCGCUAGACAUGCCAGUCUGUGUAGGUUUGAAUCCCACAGAUACGA
This 85-nucleotide transfer RNA is filed under the name Plasmopara halstedii. It matches the Rfam family "tRNA". From Rfam's summary of the family: Transfer RNA (tRNA) molecules are approximately 80 nucleotides in length. The record is from RNAcentral. Lineage: Eukaryota; Oomycota; Peronosporomycetes; Peronosporales; Peronosporaceae.